CGGCGGACGGGUGAGUAACGCGUGGGUAACCUACCCUGUACACACGGAUAACAUACCGAAAGGUAUGCUAAUACGGGAUAAUAUAUUUGAGAGGCAUCUCUUGAAUAUCAAAGGUGAGCCAGUACAGGAUGGACCCGCGUCUGAUUAGCUAGUUGGUAAGGUAACGGCUUACCAAGGCGACGAUCAGUAUCCGACCUGAGAGGGUGAUCGGCCACAUUGGAACUGAGACACGGUCCAA
RNAcentral lists this ribosomal RNA (238 nucleotides) under uncultured bacterium. Its description in RNAcentral is "partial 16S ribosomal RNA". It matches the Rfam family "Bacterial small subunit ribosomal RNA", at positions 96 to 334 of the family's 1533-position model. The record is from RNAcentral.